Canis lupus familiaris (dog) is the source of this 1672-nucleotide long non-coding RNA. RefSeq lists it as uncharacterized. The transcript is spliced from 2 exons. NCBI's taxonomy places the organism in Eukaryota, Metazoa, Chordata, Mammalia, Carnivora, Canidae. The record is from RefSeq and is a predicted model, not a curated record.
ACUCUGAAGACAGCAACAAGGCAAGGAUGUGCGUAGGGCUAAAUCUGCGUCAUCCUUAACAGGUGGUCGUGACCAAAAUCAAAAUGCCUGGACAGGAGAGGAAGAGGCUCUGCAAACAGGUUUCCCAAGUCCCUCAUGAGCUGUUGCACAUAAACUGGAAUUAAAAACGAUGACAAAAAUCUAGACCAUUUUCCUUUCUCCAGUUGACCAGGCUUCUCCAGACUAGAGUGACAACGGCAAUAAUUUAUGAUGAUGCUCCAAGUAAACUAAUAAUGCAGACCACACUAAUAAAACAUUGUACAUCGAGAACCAUGCUAAUGACCACACAGUGGUCACAAAAUGAACAUUUUCCCUGAACUCUUCAUCCAAAAACAUCCCACAGCACUUGCCAGUUUUCAGAUAUGAAGAAGCCUUUGCCCUCUUCACCACCAACGUGCUGGCUGCUCCCAGAGAGCACAAACAGCUGAGAUAGGAAGUGUGCACCUCAAACUGGAAAAUAACAAAUAUGUGAACCAGCUUUUGAAAUUCCCCUCCACCCUGGACUGGAGCCAGGACACCACGUCUUCACGCUUCCAGCCGUGCAUGAAGGAUGUUUGGGGACUUUUCUGAUCCAAGACCCACAGGACUGUUUCAUGUUGACUUCCAGGGGACAGAGCACUGAGUGAAAGCAUCACUUGCCAUGGUCUGACUUUUAUAUCUUCUUUUUAAAAUUUAUUUAAAUGUGUCAUAGCAGCUAACCACAUCUGCAACUCUAUUGCAUCCCAUUUAAGAAAUAGGAUAAAAGACUCAAGUCCAUCAUUUUGUAUUUUUUUUUCUAAGUAAGGAUUUAAAUUAUCAACUUGAAACAGAAAGAAUCUACAAGUCUGCAACUGAGUAUUAUUCAAAGACAGGUAAAAGCAGGGAAUACCACCAAACCUGACAACUCACCGUACAUGAGCUUAUCAAUACAAAGACACCUGGUCGAUUCUAAAGGGCUCUGCAAACAUAAGAAAUGAUUUUCAAGGCUAUCAUAAAAGGUCUCACAAGGACUUUGACCUACGCAUAUUGUAUAGCACCGAGUGGAGUUUUGGCAGCACACACAAUAUUUUUGUGAUUAUUACUCACUGUUAUUAAUACAAAUAAUUGACGUAACAGCUGUUCGUGGGCCAAACACUCAUGUUUGAUAUGGAGCUACCAGAAAGGACUUCCAAAUUUUCUCAGCCUGCUUCCUCUUCCCCUCCCCCUGGGACCCCAAAGCCACACAGGAUGACUCAAGGAGAUCACGUGUCUGUGGCAUUUUGUGUGUCUGUGCGAACCAGCAUGCGUAGACAUCAUGCUCUCCUUUGAGGGAUUUGCACUAAAAAGAUGGUAAGGAAGGGGCAAAGCUGAAUGUCAGAGGUGACUUCCAAUCAGGAUAUCCCACCUGGAAGCCAGCCAGCUUCCGCUCCUUUGAAUUCGGCAAGAAAAAGACUUGACCUUUCUUACAAAUCAACCUACAAGCCCUUAGGCACGGCCACCGGCCACCGUGGGGUCUGUCUUGACUCUGACUCGAAAUCAUUUGGUAACAAGUGAAUUCCUGAAACUGACCUCCGUUUGGCAACAAGGUCUGAACAUUCAAAGCUGCUUAGUCAUUCCCCUUUAAAAAUUCACUUAAAAAAUAAAUUAAUUAAAAAUAAAAAUUCACCUUGAAGUA